GAAAUCUGACGCCACGCCGGCGUCCGAGUUGUAAUUUGGAGAGGCAUCUUCAGGAGGGGGCCCGGCCUAUGUCCCUUGGAACAGGGCGUCGCAGAGGGUGAGAAUCCCGUCCUUGGCCGGACCGUCCCUCUGGCUCGAAGUGCCUUCUACGAGUCGAGUUGUUUGGGAAUGCAGCUCAAAAUGGGUGGUAAAUUUCAUCUAAAGCUAAAUACGGGCGAGAGACCGAUAGCGCACAAGUAGAGUGAUCGAAAGAUGAAAAGCACUUUGAAAAUAGAGUCAAACAGCACGUGAAAUUGUUGAAAGGGAAGCGCUUGAGACCAGACUCGGCCAUUGACUAACAGCUGUCCUUGUGGGCGGUGCACUUGUCCUUGGCCGGGCCAGCAUCGGUUGGGACGGCGGGACAAAGGCCCGGGGAAUGUGACUCCCUCGUGGAGUGUUAUAGCCCCUGGCGAAAUGCCGCCCGUCC
This 466-nucleotide ribosomal RNA is filed under the name Tuber mesentericum. Its description in RNAcentral is "eukaryotic LSU rRNA". It matches the Rfam family "Eukaryotic large subunit ribosomal RNA", at positions 117 to 584 of the family's 3401-position model. Lineage: Eukaryota; Fungi; Ascomycota; Pezizomycetes; Pezizales; Tuberaceae. The record is from RNAcentral.